This 564-nucleotide long non-coding RNA is filed under the name Medicago truncatula (barrel medic). RNAcentral's name for it is "lncRNA gene36824". Lineage: Eukaryota; Viridiplantae; Streptophyta; Magnoliopsida; Fabales; Fabaceae. The record is from RNAcentral.
GGAAUGAGUAAUUAAUCAAAGAGAAAUCUUAAGCCCUAUUUACACAAUCCGCUUCCCUAAAGAAUUUUAGGACUUUAUUGAAAGAUAAAUGACUCUAAUCAUAACAAAUUUCAUAUUUUGCUUUCCUAAAUUUUUGUUCAAUUUAUUUUUUUAGUAAUAUUGCCCCUCAUGGAUCAUUCCUAAUAAAAUCCAUCUCUUGACUGCUCCUAGGGCGGGCCCCAUCCACAUAGUCAAGAUUGUAAAGUAUACAAACCAUUAACAUUGAAGAGAGGAAGGGUAACAAUGGCCCAAAGAUCCAAAGUUGAAGUGUAAUUGCUGUAUAGAAAAGCCUAUUUCCAAUUAUGUUCAACAACAUUGCCUUUCCAAGAUGUUGGGUCAAAUAUUCUGGUGUUACCAUGGACUUAACAUUUUGUGGAAUGCAAAUUAGCAUAUUCACUUGAUUGAUAAAUGCUGUUGAUAAAGUGAGACAAACAAAUGAGAAUGAUAACAUUGUUAGUACUAUGGCAUAUUUUAAUACCACAACAAAAUCACCAUGUGCUCCAAAAACUGAUUCUUUGAUUGGCU